This 416-nucleotide ribosomal RNA is filed under the name uncultured bacterium. RNAcentral describes it as "bacterial SSU rRNA". It matches the Rfam family "Bacterial small subunit ribosomal RNA", at positions 102 to 520 of the family's 1533-position model. The record is from RNAcentral.
ACGGGUGCGUAACACGUGGGCAAUCUGCCCUCCGAUGGGGAAUACCCCCGCGAAAGCGGGACUAAUUCCGCAUAACAUUCCUUGGAUUAACUUUCGAGGAUUCAAAGCAGCAAUGCGUCGGAGGAGGAGCCCGCGCCCGAUUAGCUAGUUGGUGAGGUAACGGCUCACCAAGGCAAUGAUCGGUAGCUGGUCUGAGAGGAUGGCCAGCCACACUGGAACUGAGACACGGUCCAGACUCCUACGGGAGGCAGCAGUGGGGAAUCUUGCACAAUGGGCGAAAGCCUGAUGCAGCGACGCCGCGUGGGGGAUGAAGCUUUUCGGAGUGUAAACCCCUUUCGACUGGGACGAAUGCCUCGCAAGAGGAGUGACGGUACCAGUAUAAGAAGCCCCGGCUAACUACGUGCCAGCAGCCGCGG